UAACAACCGAUAAAAAAAAAUCUAACAGGCUUAGCCUCGAGUUGAACCAACUGUGAUGUUUCAAAACCCCUGACAAUUACAUGAUAACAAGUAAUUGUCUCAUCAUGAUCCUUGCUCCAAAUUCCGUUCCAGUUUUAGAAUCUGAGUCAUCUGCAAUUGUGCUAGUUGUGUUCCUAGGACUUGAAUUGGUUGGUGGUUGAGUCAUUGGCUGGUGUUGGAUUGUAAGAGCCAUUUUGAAUUCUCGGGUCACACGGCUUGUUGAUCUGAAACAGCUGGAAAUCCUUAAAAACAGUGUUAGCUAAAGCCUACUCCUAGCUGAAGUAUAAGGGAUUAACAACCGAU
Molecule: unclassified non-coding RNA, 342 nt
Filed under: Hevea brasiliensis (rubber tree)
Lineage: Eukaryota; Viridiplantae; Streptophyta; Magnoliopsida; Malpighiales; Euphorbiaceae
Source: RNAcentral